RNAcentral lists this transfer-messenger RNA (411 nucleotides) under Anaerolineales. RNAcentral's name for it is "UBA11858 sp003513015 Standard tmRNA". It matches the Rfam family "transfer-messenger RNA". From Rfam's summary of the family: Bacterial tmRNA, also known as 10Sa RNA or SsrA, is named for its dual tRNA and mRNA-like properties. Its role is to liberate the mRNA from a stalled ribosome. The record is from RNAcentral. RNAcentral also lists the same sequence under 1 other name. Lineage: Bacteria; Bacillati; Chloroflexota; Anaerolineae.
GGGGAUGACUGGCUUCGACGGAGGAGGCUGGUCCCGGACUGCGAGCCGAGAGGCGCCGACCUCGAUAACUCAGCGCAACCAAUUAAGUGCCAACCGCACUAACACCUAUGCUGCUUUGCCCCUCGCCGCCUAGUGCAGUGAGCUAACAAGCGCAUAAUGGCCCCUCAAGUGGGCCACGUCCGCCCAUCACCGCCCUCUGACCGGGGAUGGAGCGGGCGUCACAAAAGUCAGAGUGCCAUCUGUAGACGCCGCUAAGCAGGUGAAAGAGGGGCUUUCGGGUCCCAGCGGAUGGUUGGAUGGAGCCUUUGGUCGAUUGUAGGCCAUCCAGCGACAACCCACAAGCGACUACGCUCGUAGACGUGCGCGGAACGAUUCUUUCGGACGCGGGUUCGAUUCCCGCCAUCUCCACAA